ACUCAAAGGAAUAGACGGGGGCCCGCACAAGCGGCGGAGCAUGCGGAUUAAUUCGAUGCAACGCGAAGAACCUUACCUGGGUUUGACAUACGCCGGAAACAUCCAGAGAUGGGUGCCCUUUUAGUCGGUGUACAGGUGGUGCAUGGCUGUCGUCAGCUCGUGUCGUGAGAUGUUGGGUUAAGUCCCGCAACGAGCGCAACCCUCGUCCUAUGUUGCCAGCGCGCCUUCGGGUGGCGGGGACUCAUAGGAGACUGCCGGGGUCAACUCGGAGGAAGGUGGGGAUGACGUCAAGUCAUCAUGCCCCUUAUGUCCAGGGCUUAACGCAUGCUACAAUGGCCGGUACAAAGGGCUGCGAUGCCGCAAGGCGGAGCGAAUCCCAAAAAGCCGGUCUCAGUUCGGAUUGGGGUCUGCAACUCGACCCCAUGAAGUCGGAGUCGCUAGUAAUCGCAGAUCAGCAACGCUGCGGUGAAUACGUUCCCGGGCCUUGCACACACCGCCCGU
RNAcentral lists this ribosomal RNA (501 nucleotides) under uncultured bacterium. RNAcentral describes it as "partial 16S ribosomal RNA". It matches the Rfam family "Bacterial small subunit ribosomal RNA", at positions 899 to 1397 of the family's 1533-position model. The record is from RNAcentral.